GUUUGAUUCUGGCUCAGAUUGAACGCUGGCGGCGUGCUUAACACAUGCAAGUCGCGCGUGAAAGGACUUCGGUCCGAGUAAAGCGGCGCACGGGUGAGUAACGCGUGGAUGAUCUACCCAUGAGUUAGGAAUAACGGCUGGAAACGGUCGCUAAUACCAAAUACGCUCCGAUUUCAACUUCGGGGGAAAGGUGGCCUCUGCUUGCAAGCUACUGCUCAUGGAUGAGUCCGCGUCCCAUUAGCUAGUUGGUGGGUAACGCCCACCAAGGCGACGAUGGGUAGCCGGUCUGAGAGGAUGACCGGCCACACUGGGACUGGAACACGGCCCAGACUCCUACGGGAGGCAGCAGUGGGGAAUAUUGCGCAAUGGGCGAAAGCCUGACGCAGCGACGCCGCGUGAAGGGAUGAAGGUCCUCGGAUCGUAAACCUCUGUCAGGAGGGAAGAACCGCCACGGUGCUAAUCAGCCGUGGUCUGACGGUACCUCCAAAGGAAGCACCGGCUAACUCCGUGCCAGCCGCGGC
Molecule: ribosomal RNA, 521 nt
Filed under: uncultured bacterium
Lineage: Bacteria
Description: bacterial SSU rRNA
Rfam family: Bacterial small subunit ribosomal RNA
Source: RNAcentral